GGGCUGUAGAGAAAAAUCUGUCCUGAAAAACAAAAGUAAAAAAAGAAAAAAAGAGUUUACAACACACCCAAGAAGAAUCUGGGGCCACUGUAAUGAGGGGCACAGCACUGUGUCCUCUCUGUGAGCAGAUCCCCUACAUGA
Molecule: small nucleolar RNA, 141 nt
Organism: Myodes glareolus (Bank vole)
Lineage: Eukaryota; Metazoa; Chordata; Mammalia; Rodentia; Cricetidae
Product: small nucleolar RNA SNORA11
Source: RefSeq, a predicted model, not a curated record